AAUGCAGUCGAGCGAAAGACGAGGAGCUUGCUCCUCUGACGUUAGCGGCGGACGGGUGAGUAACACGUGGAUAACCUACCUAUAAGACUGGGAUAACUUCGGGAAACCGGAGCUAAUACCGGAUAAUAUAUUGAACCGCAUGGUUCAAUAGUGAAAGACGGUUUUGCUGUCACUUAUAGAUGGAUCCGCGCCGCAUUAGCUAGUUGGUAAGGUAACGGCUUACCAAGGCAACGAUGCGUAGCCGACCUGAGAGGGUGAUCGGCCACACUGGAACUGAGACACGGUCCAGACUCCUACGGGAGGCAGCAGUAGGGAAUCUUCCGCAAUGGGCGAAAGCCUGACGGAGCAACGCCGCGUGAGUGAUGAAGGUCUUCGGAUCGUAAAACUCUGUUAUUAGGGAAGAACAAAUGUGUAAGUAACUAUGCACGUCUUGACGGUACCUAAUCAGAAAGCCACGGCUAACUACGUGCCAGCAGCCGCGGUAAUACGUAGGUGGCAAGCGUUAUCCGGAAUUAUUGGGCGUAAAGCGCGCGUAGGCGGUUUUUUAAGUCUGAUGUGAAAGCCCACGGCUCAACCGUGGAGGGUCAUUGGAAACUGGAAAACUUGAGUGCAGAAGAGGAAAGUGGAAUUCCAUGUGUAGCGGUGAAAUGCGCAGAGAUAUGGAGGAACACCAGUGGCGAAGGCGACUUUCUGGUCUGUAACUGACGCUGAUGUGCGAAAGCGUGGGGAUCAAACAGGAUUAGAUACCCUGGUAGUCCACGCCGUAAACGAUGAGUGCUAAGUGUUUAGGGGGUUUCCGCCCCUUAGUGCUGCAGCUAACGCAUUAAGCACUCCGCCUGGGGAGUACGACCGCAAGGUUGAAACUCAAAGGAAUUGACGGGGACCCGCACAAGCGGUGGAGCAUGUGGUUUAAUUCGAAGCAACGCGAAGAACCUUACCAAAUCUUGACAUCCUCUGACCCCUCUAGAGAUAGAGUUUUCCCCUUCGGGGGACAGAGUGACAGGUGGUGCAUGGUUGUCGUCAGCUCGUGUCGUGAGAUGUUGGGUUAAGUCCCGCAACGAGCGCAACCCUUAAGCUUAGUUGCCAUCAUUAAGUUGGGCACUCUAAGUUGACUGCCGGUGACAAACCGGAAGAAAGGUGGGGAUGACGUCAAAUCAUCAUGCCCCUUAUGAUUUGGGCUACC
RNAcentral lists this ribosomal RNA (1183 nucleotides) under Staphylococcus epidermidis. RNAcentral describes it as "bacterial SSU rRNA". It matches the Rfam family "Bacterial small subunit ribosomal RNA", at positions 54 to 1218 of the family's 1533-position model. The record is from RNAcentral. Lineage: Bacteria; Bacillati; Bacillota; Bacilli; Caryophanales; Staphylococcaceae.